GGCAGGUACAGCGGGAAGCCAGGCGGCGACGCCGAGCGGAACCCGAAAACCUGUCUCAGUUCGGAUCGGAGUCUGCAACCCGACUCCGUGAAGCUGGAUUCGCUAGUAAUCGCGCAUCAGCCAUGGCGCGGUGAAUACGUUCCCGGGCCUUGUACACACCGCCCGUCAAGCCAUGGAAGCCGGGGGUGCCUGAAGUGUGCAGCCGCAAGGAGCGCCCUAAGGUAAAACCGGUGACUGGGGCUAAGUCGUAACAAGGUAGC
RNAcentral lists this ribosomal RNA (260 nucleotides) under uncultured bacterium. Its description in RNAcentral is "partial 16S ribosomal RNA". It matches the Rfam family "Bacterial small subunit ribosomal RNA", at positions 1232 to 1500 of the family's 1533-position model. The record is from RNAcentral.